Molecule: long non-coding RNA, 1323 nt
Filed under: Manihot esculenta (cassava)
Lineage: Eukaryota; Viridiplantae; Streptophyta; Magnoliopsida; Malpighiales; Euphorbiaceae
Description: long non-coding RNA (MESC_LNC011962)
Source: RNAcentral
UUUCUUUGAAGAUUCUUUAUUGGAAGUUUGCUUUAUUUUUUCCUUUUUUAUUGAUUCUCCUGAAGCAAGAUGAUUGAACAUUUGCUGAUAAAUCAUUUUAUAUUCUUUGGGAGUUUUAGCUGCUGUUAACAAGGCCUGAUAUUGGGCUUUCUGGGCACCAAAUGAGGGUUCUGCUUGCAAUGUUAAUUUACCAGCAUAAGAUACAGUUGAGAAUUGGAUUCUCUUGGUUAUCCAAUUUUUUACCACUUCUUCCGUGGUAAGUUUCUGAAGGAUCUCCACCAUUUUAUUUUGUGCUUUUUUACUGAAAUAUUUAAUUCUGUUAUAUAUUGAAAAUUGAAAUACCAUUGCUAUACCUAAGGAAUAAAAAAUUUUAUAUAAAAAUACAUUAAAGGAAGGAUAUACUUUUCAUUUUGGGCUAGCUUAUAAUUACUUUUAAAAUAUUGAUAUACAUGAAGUACGUUUUGAGAUAGAAUAUCUUUAGUAAUACCUCUCUACUACCACCAUUUUAAAAAUCAAUUUGUUAUAUAAAAAUACAUUAAAGGAAGGAUAUACUUUUCAUUUUGGGCUAGCUUAUAAUUACUUUUAAAAUAUUGAUAUACAUGAAGUACGUUUUGAGAUAGAAUAUCUUUAGUAAUACCUCUCUACUACCACCAUUUUAAAAAUCAAUUUGAAAAUCUGGUGGUUGCUUUAAUGCUUUGUUAGUCAAAAUAUAUUAAUCACGAAUGAGUUGUGGUAGGAUUUUGAAUACUUAAAAUACUUGUCCAUGCAUCAAUAUAAUCAAAAUGAUUAUAUAAAGUACAAUACUUUUUAAAAUUUUUAAAUGUCAGUGCAAUAUAUAAAUUUGAGACUGGCCAAUCUUUUGGAAGAAUAAUCCUUUUUAUUUGAAUAGAAGAGUACGCUAUUAUAACACUGGUCUUUCUCUCACAUUGUGCCAGGGGCGUAGAAUGGGCCUCACUAGACUUCCAUACCGUAUCAUAACAUACCAUAUCGAGGGCUAGUGGGUCAUCCAAUAUCCAUCCACAUCAACAUCAUAUUAUGCAAUGCAUCAUAUUCAUGAAUUCUAAUGCAAAACAACCUAGUACAUAUCAUGGCAUUCGUGAUGUAUGAACAUGCUAAAAAUUUCAUUUACUUUAAAACAUAGUUCAAUUCUACUCACCUCUGGCUACUAACACUGCUGACCUCCUCGGUUCCUCGGGUCCAAUCCUACACAGGUGGACUCAAAUGAGGGACCAAACAUAUUCUAUAAGGACUCUAAACAACUCCCCAAAAACCCCCUAAAACAUCACAAAACAUGCAUGCAAAACAAGUAAAGGAAGGCUGAGC